Long non-coding RNA from Lathyrus oleraceus (garden pea), 3713 nucleotides. RefSeq lists it as uncharacterized. The transcript has 5 exons. The record is from RefSeq and is a predicted model, not a curated record. Lineage: Eukaryota; Viridiplantae; Streptophyta; Magnoliopsida; Fabales; Fabaceae.
UAUCAUGUCUCAUUUCUUCCCUUCUCAGAGAAAUUGUUUCUUCUUCUUCCAACCUAACCUAACCCUAAAACAUGUAACAAUGCUUCCACCGCCACCGUCACCGUCACCCCCAAAUUGAAAUCAAACCCUAAAAAAUCCAACACCACUGUCAUCAUCACCAUUCACUUUCCUCCCUCACUGAAUGACAAACCCUUUCCUUCACUGAACACUGACGCAAGUGGGCAACACACACCAAUUGCCAAUGAUCCUUCUCAACCAAAUCAACAAACUACAACAACACACAAUCUUCCACCAACUGGCCUAAAGAAAAGAAGACUUGAUGAAAAUGGUAACAUAAAGAGAUCUGAGGUAUGGGAUCACUUUAACCUUAUUCCUGAUAGUGACCCCCCAACUGCUGAAUGUAAGUACUGCCACAAAAUGUAUAUGCAUGACUCUAAAGAAACAUGGAAGAUCAAACUUAAAGAGUCACAUGAAAACAUGCCUCAAGUAUGCAUUGAACGUGUCUAUCGACCCUAUCCAAACAAUCUUGUUAUAUUCAACAACUAAGGGAAAUAUGUUGGUUCCAUUAAGUUCUAGGUUUAACCAUGUAGUUUGCAUAAAUGGAUUGGCUUAUUUGAUCAUUGUAGAUGAGAAACAUUUCAAAACAGUUGAAGGGGAGGGGUUCAAGUACUGUAGGAAAGUGCAACCCCAAUUUUCUAUACUGCCAAGGAGAACCAUAACUAGGUUUUUCCCCCCAAUUAUAUCUUGAUGAGGAAGUGAGGUUGAAAGCGUUCUUUAAGUCUCAUUGUUGUAGGGUGGCAAUUACAACAAAUUGCUGGACGUCUGUCCAAAAUCUAAAUUACUUGACCCUCACUGCCUGUUUUAUUGAUAAGGAUUAGCAUUGCCAAAAAGGAUAAUUAACUUUACAAUUAUCCUAAAUCACCGGGGUAAAACUAUUGGUAAGAAGUUUGAGGAGGUUUUGAAGAAGUGGGGGCUGAGAAAUAUUUCUACCAUCGCAAUAGAUAAUGCCUCAUAAAAUGAUGUUGUUGUUAAAUAAUUAGAACACAAAAUAAGAAACAUGAAUAGACUUUUAAUGGAUGGGUUUGGGUUUCACAUGAGGUAUUAUGCUCAUCCACUGAAUCUGGUUGUGAAAGAUGGAUUAAAAUUAGCCCACACCUCAAUUUCAAGGGUUAGAAAUGCAAUUAGGUUUGUUAGAUCUUCACCCCAUAGGGAUUUAAAGUUCAAGGAAUGUGUGGAAUAUGUUGGGAUUUCAUGCAAGACGUCAGUAUGUCUUGAUGUUUCAACCAGAUGGAACUCGAUAUAUCUGAUGUUAGAUGCGGCUGAAAAGUUUCAAACUGCUUUUGAUAAGCUAGAAGGUAAGGAUGAAGCCUAUAGGGAUUUAUUUGAGGUUGAUUGCCCUUAGUAGUCAAGAUUCGGAUAAUAUUAGGGUUUUUAUUAAGUUUUUAAAGAAUUAUUAUGAGUCGACAAACGUUUUUUCUGUUUCAACAAAAGCAAGCUUGCAUACUGCUUUUCCGUACUUGGGUGGCAUCUACAUUGAGCUUAAGAAAUUAAACAUGGACCUGAAUGGAUUGUUUGCUGAGGUGACUAGGGACAUCUUGGAAAAGUAUAGUAAAUAUUGGGUUGAUAUCACUAAGAUGAACCAACUACUUUAUUUUGGUGUUAUCUUUGAUCCUCGAUAUAAGUUAAGAUAUGUAGAAUGGUGCUUUAAUGAUAUGUAUGGAAAACAUUCUGACACUAGAAAAUCCCUACUAAAAAGAUAUCAAUGACAAUAUUUCAAAACUGUUCAAUCUUUACAAACAAGAAUAUGACACUACUGGAGGCUCAAUUUCAUUUGUUGUGGCGAUUGUUUCUCUUCGUGAAACUGCUGCCAGCGAAGAAGUACCCACAUAUGUAGUUAGGGAAAAUGCUUUUCAGAAACAUUUGAUGUAUAUGGAUUCAGUGGAAGAAGAAAUUGAGCUUUAAAGUUAUAUAGAAGGAAAAUGUUUAACUUUUAAUGAAAAGGAUGAAGAAAAGUUUAACAUUCUUUGUUGGUAGAAACAUGAUGCUGGUCAAUACCCAGUUCUGUCCCAAAUAGUUAAAGCUAUCAUGCCCACGCCAGUUUCAAUCGUGGCUUCUGAGAGUUCUUUUAGCACGGGUGGGAGGGUUUUAGAGGUAUAUAUAAGCUCUCUCAAACCAGAAAUGGAAGAGGCUCUAAUUUGUGCUCAAAAUUGGUUGAGGCCUUCCUUUUACCAAUUCAAAGACUUGGAAUUCAAUGAGGAGUAUGAGAUUUUUGAAGAUGUUUUACAAGGAUUUACUAAAACUUUAGUUGGAAGUAAGGCCAUGCCAUCCUCACAGACUCAGUCACAACCUUAUGGUUAUGCCUAAAACAAAUUAAGCUUGAAUUCCCUUGUAUUUUGUUAACCCGUCUUUGUUAAAUAAAGUAUGUAUUCUAAUGUUUUCUGCGACAUUUUCAGCCACUUUUUUUUAAUGUUUUAGAGUCAUGAAUGACUCUUUUUUUUAAGCCAUGAAUAACAUAACCAAACACUUUUUAAAAGAAUAUUAAAAUAUAAACUUUCUUGGUUACAUACAGGAAUAUAUAUGAAUUUCUUAGCAUCUUAUUAAUAUAGAAGCUAGGCAUUCUGAAAGAGGGGUCUGAAAGUAGUAAUUGCUGGAAUUCCAAAAAUCAUAGAUAAUGACAUCCCGGUUAUUGACAAGAUCAGUUUUGAUUGGUUUUGUUGCUUUGAUGAACAACCUGAAUGGAUGGUGUAUGGGAGUUUUGAUUACGAGUUUAUGCUUUUCAUAUGGUUUUGAUACAUUUCUAACAUUACUAUGCGUUGAUGGAUGCUUUAUGAUUAAUCUUAGAAUGGCCAGUUUUCUAAACUUCAUACAUAAUCUGCUGAUGGAUGUUGUCUUGUUCUGUCACUUAUAGUGUAUGUCAGCACUAGAAUUUAUUCAAGUAACAUACUGAAAAACAUGAUGGUAAUCGUCAGUGUAAAAUUUGAUUGAUUUUGUUGCAAAAUUUGAUGAAAAUAGUUUAUAAUGUGCAAAGUUUGAUUCACAUAGGUUUUAAUUGGUUUUGUCAGCACUAGUCUCCAAGCUUUUCAUAUAGUUUAUAAUGUGCAAAAUUUGAUUCAAAAUUUGAUUGGUUUUGUUGCUUUGAUUACGAGUUUAUGAUUAUCAUAUGGAUGUUGUAUGAUUGAUCGUAGCAUUGUGAGUUUUUUUAAACUUCAUAAUAAUCUAUUGUCUUGAAAAUAGGUCUUGAUUUUAGGAUAAGACUCUUUUUCUAUGUAAUUUGGUUUUAUGCUUGUGUUGAAUCAAAAGACAACGAGAUUUACAAUCAUAUAAACGUUGUUCUUCAUGGUUUUAAGAUAUGUCUUAUGAUUGCUUAAACUAGAUGCUGAAGGGAAAGAGUUUAUGGAACGAAUUAUGAAACACUUGCAUGCCUUAAGCUAUCAUGAGAACAUUUUCAACAGGCCAACUUUAUUAAUUUCAUUGUUAUAAUCAAGGGUGGAAAUCAUGUUGAUUACAUCACCAUUCAUUGUUUGUAAUGUGAUAUAUAAGAGGAAAAGGUGCUUUGGUUAUGGUGGUUGAUGGUAUUAGAUUUAUUUGGAUUUGUUAAUGUUAAUGCAUGUAUUGAUUUAUGUUGGAUGAAUUAAUUUUAAACUUGGAUUUUAUGUGGUCCUAGGAAGGAUUAAUUUUAAUUUUAAUUAAACAAUUUAGUUGUGUUAAUGUUA